This 383-nucleotide ribosomal RNA is filed under the name uncultured bacterium. RNAcentral describes it as "bacterial SSU rRNA". It matches the Rfam family "Bacterial small subunit ribosomal RNA", at positions 30 to 416 of the family's 1533-position model. The record is from RNAcentral.
AUUGAACGCUGGCGGCAUGCCUCACACAUGCAAGUCGAACGGUAACGGGCCUUCGGGUGCCGACGAGUGGCGAACGGUGAGUAAUGCAUCGGAACGUACCUUUCAGUGGGGGAUAACGUAGCGAAAGUUACGCUAAUACCGCAUAUUCUGUGAGCAGGAAAGCAGGGGAUCGCAAGACCUUGUGCUGAUUGAGCGGCCGAUGUCAGAUUAGCUAGUUGGUGAGGUAAAGGCUCACCAAGGCGACGAUCUGUAGCGGGUCUGAGAGGAUGAUCCGCCACACUGGAACUGAGACACGGUCCAGACUCCUACGGGAGGCAGCAGUGGAGAAUUUUGGACAAUGGGGGCAACCCUGAUCCAGCCAUGCCGCGUGAGUGAAGAAGGCC